Molecule: long non-coding RNA, 1192 nt
Organism: Vicia villosa (hairy vetch)
Lineage: Eukaryota; Viridiplantae; Streptophyta; Magnoliopsida; Fabales; Fabaceae
Exons: 4
Source: RefSeq, a predicted model, not a curated record
UAGGAUCUCUUAGGUGGUUAUAGUUGGGAAAUUCUGUUAUGGAUUAGUUUGAGAAUUGGUUAUAGAAAUCAGUAAGUUAGUUAUGAAUUUCUACUUUGACAGUUAGGAUAUAGUUAAGUGAGGUAGUUAGGAAUGUGAGGUUAGUUAUGGGAGACUGCAAAGAGGGUCUGUUAUGAAUUUAGUCAGAAACUGUCGACUCGGUCGGUUAGAGAGAACUGUUGUUGUGAGCUGGGUCUUUUCUUCAUUGAUUUUUUUGUUAUAUAGCUGUUCUACUGCGCUGGAUUUCUGAUUGGCUCCUAAUUGUUUUUUCACAGUGACAUAGCCUGCCCGGUUUAAGUUUCAAUCUGCACGAUGGCAUUGCUUGGAUGGAUGUUGGUUAUUGUCACAUACUGGUUUGGAUGCACGCAACAGAUACUGAAUUUCUGACAUGUUGAUUACGGUAAUUGAGUUGUUGGAGCGAGGGGAACAACUUUGAAUCAAGUUUUGUGACUUAUUUGACUACAUUUUCACAUGAUCCAGAUUUCUCCGAGACUAACUGUGAUGCUGGGCUGUUUGUAUGUUUGGACAUUGGGUGCAGGGCUGGUUAGAAGUUGGGUUACCAUGGGCUGAAUUGAAAUUGUACUUAGGAAUAAAGCUCCAACCUAUUAUGAAUGAAAGUCGUGGCAUUUUGAACAGUGUACUGGUUUAUGGUAAUGGAACUCUGUGCAAACUUUGGACUUCGGAAUUGCGCCGCGUCUCGGAUUGGAUGGUUUGAUGAAACUAUAACUGGUGUGGCAAAAGGAACAUGGCAUAAUUUGGAGGUAUCGUGGCUCAUGAAGAAAUAAUGAUGAUGAUGAAUGGUGGAAUCUUAAAGAAACUUGGAGCGAAUAGAUCCGGGGUCCACAAGAGUCAAAGUCAGAUUUUGGUCAACCAUGUAGUUUCUUAAUGUAUUUCAAUGGUGUAAUGCAUCAAAGGAUCAACUGUUUUUUUUUAAUUGUUGUAAUUUUCUGUUUGGUUUUUGUUGUAAGGUUCCGAAAAACAGCAGGGUAUAGGUAGGAUUUGUAAGGUAAAUAAAGGAUUUUUGUGAGAUUGUUUCUGUAGUUUGAUUUUUAGUAAUGGACAUGGCUUCAAUGUAAUUGGAAUUUGUGUGUGUGUGGAUUUGUAUUGGGCCAGUGUAUUUGAAUGGUUUCAAGAGCUAGAACUUGUAUAUGGU